GACGAACGCUGGCGGCGUGCCUAAUACAUGCAAGUCGAACGCAGUGGGGACGGGUGAGUAACACGUGGGUAACCUCCCAUCAGAGGGGAUAACAGUUGGCAACAGGUGCUAAACCGAUACGGGUGGAUGGACCCGCGGUGCAUUGGCUAGUUGGUGAGGUAACGGCUCACCAAGGCAACGAUGCAUAGCCGGACUGAGAGGGUGAGCAGCCACACUGGAACUGAGACACGGCCCAGACUCCUACGUGAGGCAGCAGUAGGGAAUAUUGCGCAAUGGACGAAAGCCUGACCGAGCAACGCCGCGUGAGUGAAGAAGGUUUUCGGAUCGUAAAACUCUGUUGGUAGAGAAGCGGUACCUAACGAGAAAGCCCCGGCUAACUACGUGCCAGCAGCCGCGGUAAUAC
This 403-nucleotide ribosomal RNA is filed under the name uncultured bacterium. Its description in RNAcentral is "partial 16S ribosomal RNA". It matches the Rfam family "Bacterial small subunit ribosomal RNA", at positions 28 to 526 of the family's 1533-position model. The record is from RNAcentral.